Molecule: long non-coding RNA, 2406 nt
Organism: Python bivittatus (Burmese python)
Lineage: Eukaryota; Metazoa; Chordata; Lepidosauria; Squamata; Pythonidae
Source: RefSeq, a predicted model, not a curated record
AUGUACAACACUGUUAGAUUAUUGGUUAGUUUCAAUGUGUGGUAGCAAAAAUACCAAAUAAAGGUAUAUUGUGCAAUAUGUAGAUGGGUAUAUUUAGUUGAUACAUUAAAUAUACAAUACAAGCAUGCAAGUUAGGCCUGCCAGAUCUGGGCUACAAAACUCAUGACAUCACUACAUGGCCUCAAAGAGUUUCCUUGUACAUUUGCUGCUAUGUUGUCAUCAUCUGGGUUUUCGUAGCCCUGAUAAAGCUGGCCCCAACGCAAUGAAAUAUCCAAGACCAAUCACCAAAGGUCUUCAGAGCCAGAGCACAUAAGGAAUGGGAUCUAUUCCCCAGUUUAGUUAUCAGAAUGCUUAGAAGGGUCUGAAACUUCAGCUGGGUGAAAAAUCAUAGCCAUCAAAAUCUCACUUUUCUAGAGGGAGCGCUCUCCUGUUUCAAGAAGAAAUACAAGAAAUUCAGCCUGUCUGGCUGAAUCAGGACAGUAACAAUCACAACCAGAAUAAACAGAGAAGCCCGGUGUGUUUCAAGCCAGCCAUUUUGUUGGGGACUGAUGCAAAAAUAUUUGUUCUUCUCAAUAUUUGCUCAGCUUUAGGCAAACCAAUCGCUGGUUUCCUGAGAAAACAAUGUUUCCUGCAUUCUGGAGCAUAAUGUAGAUCCUUCAAACCUUAAAAGAAAUUGCCCUGCACAAAGAGUUGUUCAUAUGACCUGACUCACUCUUUUUCAGAAUAACAAACUAAUACUCAGAGGUGUCCACGUGAUGCAAUCAUGGUCCACAAGAUGGUGGCCACUACAGUAUAAUCAAAGCUCCGCCCACUUUAAGGUGCAUUACAGGCAGGAGUUUGGAUCACACAAUUGUGGGCAUCAUCUUGACUUUUUUUACUAUACCUGCUAAUAUCUGAAAAUUUACCCUUCAUGUCCUUUUUAGAGCAAAGCUCAGAAAGGAAUGUCCUUUAUCAAGGGAAAACUAGAUCUGUCAAGCUAUCAGUUUGCCCUGAAAGGCUGGAUAUGUUCAUUCUGCAAAAUAUAGGCAUUAAUUAUCUUAUAUGCCAGGCUGUCACUUCCCUUUUCAUUUUAGUUACCUGAUUUCUCCUCCUUCACUUCCCUUUUUUCACGCCCUGGCCCUGAUGACAUUUGCCUAGGGUAUAGCAGUGGUUAUGUUCUACUUCCCCAUCUCCUCCUCUUUAAUCAGCCCUUACCCCAGCCCCACAGUUUAAAAAGGACAUUUCAUAUGCAAAGACGUCACUUGUCUAUGUUUCUAGAGCUGCAAGGGAAAUGUCUCCUUGGGGAUGGAAGGGGAGGGUCAGAUGAGGGGAGAGGAGGGUCAAAGCUCCAUAGGAUGGAAGGGACUAUCCUAGAGAUGGACAUUCCUUCCUAGCUUCAGAGGACAGUGAAAGAAAAAGCUUGAGAGUUACAUCAGAAGGUAGGCAAGCAGCCAGAACUGCAGAGUUUCUUCCCAUCUAUGGAAGAGGAAUGUCACUCGGAGGGCCAGAAAAACAAUUGGGAAGCAAGGAGCUCAAGGUUUUGCAUUCAGCUCUUGAAGGAGAACAUGAAAAUGAAGCAAGGGAAUUUGGGCAUUUCUACCCAAGUUCUGUAGUGAGCAGCAUGGAAUCAUAAGGAUAUUGGACCUAAAAUCCUAUUCAACAUUUUUCUGAUUAUGAAGAGGCAAGCUGAGUUCAGGGUGAAGUCCCUUCAGCUGCUAGUAAAGUAAAGGUACAAUAUAGACAUCUCCGAGGGAAAGCAGUUCUGCUAUUACCAUAUGGCACAUUGAGAUUGUUGGUGCAGGAGGAGGAGAAUAAGCCUGGAACUGCUGCUGCCACACCCAUUUAGACCAGAACACAUCCCCUUCAGCAACCAAUACCAGUUCUCAUGAACAUUAUCCACUUCUUUUCAAACCGUGCUUCACAACCUUAAUGGCCAAAAAGUUAUUUCACAAAACCUGUGAGAAGACAUUACAUGCUGCAUUUCUCAGGAAGAUGUCUCUGUGUGAAGCUGCCAUUGGAUGAUAUUGAAAUAAGGGAGGUAACACUACUUAAACAUCAAUACUGCUAAGGAUUGUCUCACUCAUGGGGCAACAUCAUGGGGACACGGCAGAAAAAAGAUGUUGCUGGGACAUGUUUGUGCCAUGAAUCUGGAAAGGCCCUGGAAGACAGGGGACAUACUGCUAUGCAUUCCACUGUCUUUCUUGAAGGCAUAUGUUCUUCCUUGUUUUUUCCCCUCUGCUAUCUGCUUACUCCAUAUUUACAGGUGUAUCUAAGCCACAUUGUGGUAACCCUCUCCUAGCCAUAUAUAUUCUUCUGAAGCUCUGAACAGAACAUGCAUAAUAAACUUGGAUAAAUUAAAAAAAAAUAAGACAAAGAUAACUGUUUUUUUUCUUCUGUGCAAAGUAGGUGCAGGGAUUUUCAUUGCUG